This is a long non-coding RNA of Mytilus californianus (California mussel), 932 nucleotides long. RefSeq lists it as uncharacterized. The record is from RefSeq and is a predicted model, not a curated record. The transcript has 3 exons. NCBI's taxonomy places the organism in Eukaryota, Metazoa, Mollusca, Bivalvia, Mytilida, Mytilidae.
AACCAACCGUAUAUAUAACUCCCGGAAACAGCAGUAUGUAUGUUCAUAGACACGAUAAUAUGACAUUAGAGUGUGCAUUUGUAUCGCUUGCUAACAUUACCAGUUUACAAUGGAUCAAGCAUGGAAAAAAUGGACAAACAGUUUUAAAUGAAACAACUCAUCCAGAUAAAUUUAGUGUUAGUUUUUCCGGAGCUUCUCGCAACUUAUGGCUUUUUAAAUCUGAUUUUAUACUUGAGGACACAGCUACGUAUCAGUGCAUUGUUUCUAAUCAGAAUGGCGAAAAUGAUGACAAUGUAACCGUAUUCAUAUUUGAAGAAACCCCUAAUCCUCAAAUAACAUUUGAAAUAUACCCGCUGAAUCUUGGUGGAGACGUACAUUUGGAGUGCAUGAUUGACGCGUAUCCAGAAAUAACGGAUGUUUGGUGGAAGAAAGACGACGAAAUAAUAGAUAAAACAGAUAUUCGGUACAACGGAUCUACUCCACAAGAACCAUCGCUCAACAUAUCAAUGACUACUACAGACGAUAUUGGAUAUUAUAGAUGCUGUGCAAACAAUUCCAUAGGUUUCAACUGCAGUAACGAUUUUAUACUUGGAUAUUCGCCUAUCAUAAUUAAUUCUACACAUUAUGCAGAAGGAUUCAUCGGAAAGUCAUUGAAUAUCAAUUGUGAAGUGAAAUCAGCCCCUAAAAUCCUCGAUGUUACGCUUCAAUUUAAAGAAACGAUUGUAACAGCAAAUGUCUACAACGUAUCCACUGAAAAACGUCACCAAGAAAAGUUUACAUUUACAAUUACCGACCCAACAAUGCAGGACAGUGGAAAUUAUACAUGCAACGCAACUAAUGUGCACACAUCCAGCAUUAGUGAUGUAAUUACACUGGAAAUAUAUGGAGGCAAGUUCUAAUUCAAACUUUACUUUCGCUAUUGCUUCCCACAU